Pyrgilauda ruficollis (rufous-necked snowfinch) is the source of this 1139-nucleotide long non-coding RNA. RefSeq lists it as uncharacterized. The transcript has 2 exons. NCBI's taxonomy places the organism in Eukaryota, Metazoa, Chordata, Aves, Passeriformes, Passeridae. The record is from RefSeq and is a predicted model, not a curated record.
CGCCAUCGCUCUGCCCGCCCACCUUCCCUCCCUCGUCCCGCUCCUCCUCCUCCCCGCUUCCGCCCCUGGCCCUCCGCGGGGCGGGGGUCUCACCAUCCCGGAGCAGAGGCUGAUAACGGCGGUGAGCCGAGGGCGGGCGUUGACGUGCCCCCGGUAGAAGCAGUGCUUCACAUCGGCGUCGGCCGCCUCGGCGUAGAGGCGCCGCUGGUCUGCGGCGGGCUCUCCCAGGAGGCUGACGGUGAAGAGCGGGGCGAUGAAGGCCGAGCUGGCCGUCAGGUUGAAGAGGAACUGCUGCCCGAAGGCGGACAGCCUGUAGUGUGCCUUCGGGGAGUCGGCGACGGCCGCCGUCCAGGCGUCGGGGGCAGCACUGGUGCUCCGCCGGCGCCGCCUGAAGUGGACAUCGGUGGGGAAGGGCUCACCGAACUCAUUCACUCGGGUAGGAGUCACGAUCUCGUACUCGCUGAGCUUCUCCAGCAGCUGGGCUGCGAGGGGACAGACGCUGAGUGAAGUGGCCGUGCCCCGCGGCCCCGGGGGGCGGCAGCGCAGCACUCCCCGCGUCCCUCCCCGAGCACCCCCUUACCUUGCCUGGGGUGCAGCUUCUGCCUCCUCGCUCCCGUCCUCAAGCCGUCGAUGAAGAGCGUGCUUGAAGAAAUGGAUCAGGAGUUGAAGAAUCCCCUGUGUGGCACUUCUUAUAGCAGUUGUUUUCUUAUGCAUUUCUCAGAUAAGAGGCACUUCAAGCAACUUUUGUUCAGGAUGAGAUUUGUGUUGUGCACUUUUCAGGCACCCUGAGGGAAAAGGAACUCCAAAUCUGAGUUUAUUUUAUCCUGUUUUACAGUUUGAAAGGUCUCUGUAAAAAUUUUAGACAUCCUUUAGAACUAAAUGUAGUUAAGGGUUGUCUUCUACCCCUUCCUCAAAUCAAAACUCCCAGCCUUGGUUUAAAAGGUUUUUAAACAUUUAAAACCUGUAAGCAAGGCAGAAGAGAAGUUCGAAAGUUCAGUUUGCACUUCCAUAGAAGAUGUCAAAGUUCUUUGCAUUCUUUGCUCACCUUUGGGACAAGGCACAGAAAUGCUGGUAUUUGCUGCAGAAGGGGAAAGUUCUAAAAUAAAAUUCAAUUCAGAAUCCACUUCUGGGCAAAAUGG